RNAcentral lists this non-coding RNA (780 nucleotides) under Pongo abelii (Sumatran orangutan). The record is from RNAcentral. Lineage: Eukaryota; Metazoa; Chordata; Mammalia; Primates; Hominidae.
AUGACUUCUCUUAGUGACCACAGGUUGGUUGAGGGGUUUAACAAGGCUAAGAAGGUGAGACGUGGUCUUGUAACACAGUGGUUAAGAAUGUGACUUUGGAGCCAGCCUGCUAGGGGCUGAAUUCUGACUCAGCCAUUUAUUAACUGUGUGACCUUAGGGAGGAGGACCUGGUUGAUAGAAGAAUUUAUCUCAUAGUCUUAACAUCCACUGUAAUUCCGAACUUUGAGGACGAUAGAGAUCAGUGGGCUUUGACUGCCCAGCAUGCAGUCUCCAUUCUUAGGUCAUAGAAUUUUCCACACUCCUUGACGGAGGUUCUUAACCCUUAUCCAUCAGCAUUCUCAGACAGCACCUCCGGUUAGGGACAGUAUCUGACCGUCCGACAUCCCUGCAGCCCCCAUGCUGUCACACAGACUCAGCCUCAGGUAGAUGGUUUCCGUAGAUGGUGGCUUUCUUUGGACCCUUGAUAUCAACCAGUUACUAUUUGCUCAGCAAGGCCCACAUUCUCCCGGUGAAGCCACAGAACCACAGGGAGAAAUCCAUGGACUUGGCCUCGCUCUCUAGGGGACCAGAUGUGCAGAGGUAAUGAAUACCAGGGAAUCAGGAAACCACUGGAUCAGUUCUUUGAGCCAUAGAACAACACUCAUCCCAGCAGCUGGGAAGCUAUCUGCAAAAGUCCAUCUGCAGAAAGGGCUUCCUGGUCUUGCGUGUGGCUGGGCCAUUUCUCUGGAUGCAGGUUUUUCAUUAUACAGUCUUCUCAAAGGACCACCUGCUCUCAACACC